CUUUUCUUGUUAAUAAUUUGAAGUAUAACCUGCCCACUGAUUAAUAUUUUAAAGGGCCGCAGUAUUUUUGACUGUGCAAAGGUAGCAUAAUCAUUAGUCUUUUAAUUGUGGACUGGUAUGAAUGGUUGGACGAGGAAUAUACUGUUUCUUAUUAAUUUUAUUGAAUUUAAAUUUUAAGUUAAAGUGCUUAAAUAUUUAUAUGGGACGAGAAGACCCUAUAGAGUUUUAUAAAUAAUGUUUUAUUUUGGUUUGAAUUAUGAUUAUAUAAAAUAUUAUAUAUUUUGUUGGGGUGAUGAAGAAAUUUAAUUAACUUUAUUUUUAAUUAUAUAUUUAUUUAUAGUUUUUUGAUCCUAUUUUGUUGAUUAUAAGAUUAAAUUACCUUAGGGAUAACAGCGUAA
This 398-nucleotide ribosomal RNA is filed under the name Celatoblatta sp. W24. RNAcentral describes it as "partial large subunit ribosomal RNA". The record is from RNAcentral. Lineage: Eukaryota; Metazoa; Arthropoda; Insecta; Blattodea; Blattidae.